Long non-coding RNA from Manis pentadactyla (Chinese pangolin), 894 nucleotides. RefSeq lists it as uncharacterized. NCBI's taxonomy places the organism in Eukaryota, Metazoa, Chordata, Mammalia, Pholidota, Manidae. The record is from RefSeq and is a predicted model, not a curated record. The transcript has 4 exons.
CCCUACUUGUUCAGCUACUGGUGCCUGUGGAAUGGGCAAACUAUGGAAUUAAUCUGCGUAGGACAUUGGACCUAGCUGAAUCCUCCAGCUUGAGGAUUAUCAUGAUUUUAUUACUGUUAUUGCUCCAGUGUUGUCACACAGGGGCCAUUGCGGAAGAUGGAGAGUGAGUAGAUUGUUAGGGCUCUGGAACAGAAUCUGCAGUAUCCCGAGUCUCAAAUUGGAAACAUCUGCAUCCUCUCAAAUUGGAAACAUCCAAGACUGAUGAUCAGAGGCCUCAUAAAAGAUCAAUAUCUGGAAUGGUUUUGGCAGAUAAUUUUUAAAACCAAGUAGGAACAGCGAAAGCCUUGUCGGCUUGUGUCUGCUGCUCUCCUGCUGCUCCAACAGGAUGCUGCCAGGAGAAAGAUCUCCAGUAUCCUCCGGUCCUAGUUUUUAAAAUACUUUUCAGUCCUCAGUGUAUAUUCAAGUGUAUCUUUUCUUUGCUACCAUAUAAUCACUCAACUUCUGCAAGUUAAUUCUCUAAGCAAGAUGACUUCUUAAAGGCAAAUUUAAGCUCAACAGAAUUAAUGUUGCUCAUCUUACCUACUCAAGAAAUGAUUAAAUGUAGCCUAAUCCUCCUACUGUGGUAAAAUUUAAUAUCCUUAGCUGCACUAUAAAUAAGGGGUACAUUAAUCCUAAGUUAUCACUGCUUCAUAUACACAGAGUUAUACAUUUGGGUUAAUCAGUAGGUAUGUAUCACACCUGCUUUCUCUUCAUUCUCAGGCAAAGGACAAAUAUGUUAGUUUGCACAGGUUAAAUGAUGUGGACCUUGAAUUACUGUUCCCAAGCCUUUAUCAUCAUACACAUUUUAGCAAAAAGUAAACGAUUCUCAGUUUUUUGAUUGACUGAUAAAUAGGG